This 580-nucleotide ribosomal RNA is filed under the name uncultured archaeon. RNAcentral describes it as "bacterial SSU rRNA". It matches the Rfam family "Archaeal small subunit ribosomal RNA", at positions 99 to 685 of the family's 1478-position model. The record is from RNAcentral.
CGUGGACAUCUAACCUAAGGUGGGGGAUAACCCCGGGAAACUGGGGAUAAUACCCCAUAGACUAUGGGUGCUGGAAUGCUCUGUAGUUGAAAGGUCCGCCGCCAUAGGAUGAGUCUGCGGCCGAUUAGGUUGUUGUUGGGGUAACGGCCCAACAAGCCUGUAAUCGGUACGGGUUGUGGGAGCAAGAGCCCGGAGAUGGAUUCUGAGACACGAAUCCAGGCCCUACGGGGCGCAGCAGGCGCGAAAACUUUACAAUGCGGGAAACCGUGAUAAGGGAACUCCGAGUGCCCGUAAAAUCGGGCUGUCCACCAGUGCAAAUAACUGGUGAAGAAAGGGCCGGGCAAGACCGGUGCCAGCCGCCGCGGUAAUACCGGCGGCUCGAGUGGUGGCCACUAUUACUGGGCUUAAAGCGUUCGUAGCUGGUCUGUUAAGUCUCUGGGGAAAUCUACUGGCUUAACCAAUAGGCAUCUCAGGGAUACUGGCAGACUAGGGACCGGGAGAGGUGAGGGGUACUCCAGGGGUAGGAGUGAAAUCCUGUAAUCCUUGGGGGACCACCUGUGGCGAAGGCGCCUCACCAGAA